RNAcentral lists this ribosomal RNA (712 nucleotides) under uncultured bacterium. Its description in RNAcentral is "bacterial SSU rRNA". It matches the Rfam family "Bacterial small subunit ribosomal RNA", at positions 104 to 810 of the family's 1533-position model. The record is from RNAcentral.
GGGUGAGUAACGCGUAUGCAACCUGCCCGUUUCAGCGGGAUAACCCGGAGAAAUCCGGCCUAAUACCGCAUGUGGCCGAGGGGAGGCAUCUUCUUUCGGCCAAAGGAGGCGACUCCGGAGACGGAUGGGCAUGCGUGACAUUAGCUUGUUGGCGGGGUAACGGCCCACCAAGGCGACGAUGUCUAGGGGUUCUGAGAGGAAGGUCCCCCACACUGGUACUGAGACACGGGCCAGACUCCUACGGGAGGCAGCAGUGAGGAAUAUUGGUCAAUGGGCGAGAGCCUGAACCAGCCAAGUCGCGUGAAGGAUGACGGCCCUAUGGGUUGUAAACUUCUUUUGUCAGGGAGCAAUUGGGUCCACGCGUGGGCUUAGCGAGAGUACCUGAAGAAAAAGCAUCGGCUAACUCCGUGCCAGCAGCCGCGGUAAUACGGAGGAUGCGAGCGUUAUCCGGAUUUAUUGGGUUUAAAGGGUGCGUAGGCGGAAUAUCAAGUCAGCGGUAAAAAUUCGGGGCUCAACCCCGUCGUGCCGUUGAAACUGAUGUUCUUGAGUGGGCGAGAAGUAUGCGGAAUGCGUGGUGUAGCGGUGAAAUGCAUAGAUAUCACGCAGAACUCCGAUUGCGAAGGCAGCAUACCGGCGCCCAACUGACGCUGAAGCACGAAAGCGUGGGUAUCGAACAGGAUUAGAUACCCUGGUAGUCCACGCAGUAAACGAU